GUUCAUGUAGCUUAUAGUUUUAAAGCAAGGCACUGAAAAUGCCUAGAUGAGUUUUCGAACUCCAUAAACA
RNAcentral lists this transfer RNA (70 nucleotides) under Ochotona cansus (Gansu pika). RNAcentral describes it as "tRNA-Phe". It matches the Rfam family "tRNA". From Rfam's summary of the family: Transfer RNA (tRNA) molecules are approximately 80 nucleotides in length. Their secondary structure includes four short double-helical elements and three loops (D, anti-codon, and T loops). Further hydrogen bonds mediate the characteristic L-shaped molecular structure. tRNAs have two regions of fundamental functional importance: the anti-codon, which is responsible for specific mRNA codon recognition, and the 3' end, to which the tRNAs corresponding amino acid is attached (by aminoacyl-tRNA synthetases). tRNAs cope with the degeneracy of the genetic code in two manners: having more than one tRNA (with a specific anti-codon) for a particular amino acid; and 'wobble' base-pairing, i.e. permitting non-standard base-pairing at the 3rd anti-codon position. The record is from RNAcentral. Lineage: Eukaryota; Metazoa; Chordata; Mammalia; Lagomorpha; Ochotonidae.